This 440-nucleotide ribosomal RNA is filed under the name uncultured bacterium. RNAcentral describes it as "bacterial SSU rRNA". It matches the Rfam family "Bacterial small subunit ribosomal RNA", at positions 338 to 795 of the family's 1533-position model. The record is from RNAcentral.
UCUACGGGAGGCUGCAGUGGGGAAUCUUGGACAAUGGGCGCAAGCCUGAUCCAGCCAUGCCGCGUGGAUGAUGAAGGCCUUAGGGUUGUAAAAUCCUUUCGCCGAGGACGAUAAUGACGGUACUCGGAGAAGAAGCUCCGGCUAACUUCGUGCCAGCAGCCGCGGUAAUACGAAGGGGGCUAGCGUUGUUCGGAUUUACUGGGCGUAAAGCGCGUGUAGGCGGGCUGGUAAGUUGGGGGUGAAAUCCCGAGGCUCAACCUCGGAACUGCCUCCAAAACUGUCAGCCUGGACCCAAGUAGAGGCAAGUGGAAUUGCGAGUGGAGCGGUGAAAUGCGUAGAUAUCUGGAGGAACACCCGUGGCGAAGGCGGCUUCCUGGCCAUAUCCUGACGCUGAGGUGCGAAAGCUAGGGGAGCGAACGGGAUUAGAUACCCCAGUANUC